GAGGUAUUCCCUCCGUCCGAAAAAACAUGUCCCAAGUUUGCCCCUCAAAUGAAUGUAUCUAGCACUAAUUUGGUGCUAGAUACAUCCAUUUAAGGGACAAACCUUUUUGGACGGAGGGAGUAGUAA
This is a non-coding RNA of Triticum aestivum (bread wheat), 126 nucleotides long. NCBI's taxonomy places the organism in Eukaryota, Viridiplantae, Streptophyta, Magnoliopsida, Poales, Poaceae. The record is from Rfam.